RNAcentral lists this ribosomal RNA (301 nucleotides) under uncultured bacterium. RNAcentral's name for it is "partial 16S ribosomal RNA". It matches the Rfam family "Bacterial small subunit ribosomal RNA", at positions 509 to 809 of the family's 1533-position model. The record is from RNAcentral.
CAGUCGCCGCGGUAAUACGUAGGGUGCAAGCGUUAAUCGGAAUUACUGGGCGUAAAGCGUGCGCAGGCGGUUUGUUAAGACAGAUGUGAAAUCCCCGGGCUCAACCUGGGAACUGCAUUUGUGACUGGCAAGCUAGAGUCUGGCAGAGGGGGGUGGAAUUCCGCGUGUAGCAGUGAAAUGCGUAGAUAUGCGGAGGAACACCGAUGGCGAAGGCAGCCCCCUGGGCCAACACUGACGCUCAUGCACGAAAGCGUGGGGAGCAAACAGGAUUAGAUACCCCUGUAGUCCCUGUCUCUUAUAU